This 102-nucleotide microRNA precursor is filed under the name Marmota monax (woodchuck). The record is from RNAcentral. Lineage: Eukaryota; Metazoa; Chordata; Mammalia; Rodentia; Sciuridae.
AGUGGGAUAGCUGGGUCAAAUGGUGGUUCCAUUCCAUGUUUUCAGAAUACUCUCCAUACUGCUUUCCAUAGUGGUUAUACAGUUUGCAGUCCCAACAGCAAU